RNAcentral lists this ribosomal RNA (253 nucleotides) under uncultured bacterium. Its description in RNAcentral is "partial 16S ribosomal RNA". It matches the Rfam family "Bacterial small subunit ribosomal RNA", at positions 524 to 776 of the family's 1533-position model. The record is from RNAcentral.
UACGAAGGGGGCUAGCGUUGUUCGGAAUUACUGGGCGUAAAGCGCGCGUAGGCGGUGAUCUUUGUCAGAGGUGAAAGCCUGGGGCUCAACUCCAGAAUUGCCUUUGAAACGGGAUCGCUUGAGUCCGAGAGAGGAUGGCGGAAUUCCUAGUGUAGAGGUGAAAUUCGUAGAUAUUAGGAAGAACACCGGUGGCGAAGGCGGCCAUCUGGCUCGGUACUGACGCUCAGGCGCGAAAGCCAGGGGAGCAAACGGG